AAUGUUAAGAUUAGCCAUGCAUGUCUCAGUAUAAGCUUCUAUACGGCGAAACUGCGAAUGGCUCAUUAAAACAGUUAUAGUUUAUUUGGUGGUCAGCAAUUACAUGGAUAACCGUGGUAAUUCUAGAGCUAAUACAUGCGCCCAAACCCGACUUCGUGGAAGGGUUGUGUUUAGUAGGUACAGAACCAACCCAGGCUCCGCCUGGCCUUGAGGUGAUUCAUAAUAACCGAACGAAUCGCAUGGCUAUGCCGGCGAUAGACCAUUCAAGUUUCUGACCUAUCAGCUAUCGUCGGUAGGGUAUUGGCCUACCGUGGCAAUGACGGGUAACGGAGAAUUAGGGUUCGAUUCCGGAGAGGGAGCCUGAGAAACGGCUACCACAUCUAAGGAAGGCAGCAGGCGCGCAAAUUACCCAAUCCUGACGCAGGGAGGUAGUGACAAGAAAUAACAAUACAGGGCAUACAUGUCUUGUAAUUGGAAUGAGUAAACUUUAAAUCACUUUA
This 500-nucleotide ribosomal RNA is filed under the name uncultured eukaryote. RNAcentral's name for it is "SSU rRNA". It matches the Rfam family "Eukaryotic small subunit ribosomal RNA", at positions 34 to 537 of the family's 1831-position model. The record is from RNAcentral.